AUGUUGAUAGAAUGAUAUUUGCUUUUAUUCUGUUUUCUUUUUUACACACACACACCCUUCUCUCCCUGAAAACGAGCACAUUUAUGUCAGGCAUUUUCCUCCCUAGCUGUGGAAGGGGCAAUCCAACCACACAGCCAUACAACGUCAGCAGAUCUACUCCUCCUCAGGGGCCAUCUUCAGCACCAGCCCACACCUGUAAUGGGAGCAGGCCCGAAACCACCAAGGCUGCUCUGAGAGUAAUGCCCCAUUUCAUAACGCCAGCCCACGCCACCGGGGGCAGAUGUUGGUAUGGCCGUAGAGGCCGAUUCUUCCCACCAAUACUCCCUCACAUUUUGUUGUCCCGUGGCAGACAGCAGCAGAGGGGCACUGACAAAAUGGCAUCUGACAGGGAAGUGCGUGUGGAGCAAAGGUGUGAUGCUGUGGAAAGAACGGCACCCACUGAGGUUCACUGACACUCACUGAAGGCUUAUGGAGAGCACCCAGCGGAUGUGAGCGCAGCGAGGCGGCGUGUGCUGCGUUUCAGUGGCAGCGGGUCAGCUCCGCUGCUGAGAUGGUUAUGAGCAUGCCAUGCAGCUCCUGUUCAUGGCUGGCAAAAAUGCACAGCUCCUGGGGGUGACUGUUCAAAAAAACAGCCUUUUGUAGCUGAGGAUUUGCUCUAUCAGAUAGCACUGUUGCGCUCUUUGUGUCUGUUGUAGUUUCCAUGGAAGUAAGCAGGAGCUGUAAGUUCCAGAGCAACCUGCCGUCACCAUUCCCCCCAGGCUGCCCGCGCCUGCCAGCCGCCGGGCCGGCCGCUAUGCCACUGUACGAGCAGACCGCACCGCGCUGGGAGCGGGCAGUACCCCCACCCCCACCCUGCGUACGCUGCCGCACAUCCCAUCAUCUUCCACGCAACGCGUCACGCGCUGACGCUCAGCACAACGCGGGAUUUCUUGGACCGAGAGCACCGCGGCUGCAGGUGCGAUGAGCGCCGGCACAGCACGGGGCUGCCGGCCGUCCACGGCGGCUAUGUCACAGCCCCGGGGCAGCAGCGCGCAGGGCCGUCCCC
This is a long non-coding RNA of Gallus gallus (chicken), 1045 nucleotides long. Lineage: Eukaryota; Metazoa; Chordata; Aves; Galliformes; Phasianidae. The record is from Ensembl.